Molecule: ribosomal RNA, 577 nt
Filed under: Yamadazyma mexicana
Lineage: Eukaryota; Fungi; Ascomycota; Pichiomycetes; Serinales; Debaryomycetaceae
Description: eukaryotic LSU rRNA
Rfam family: Eukaryotic large subunit ribosomal RNA
Source: RNAcentral
UGCAUAUCAAAUAAGCGGAGGAAAAGAAACCAACAGGGAUUGCCUUAGUAGCGGCGAGUGAAGCGGCAAUAGCUCAAAUUUGAAAUCUGGCGCCUUCGGUGUCCGAGUUGUAAUUUGAAGAAGGUAUCUUUGGUUUUGGCUCUUGUCUAUGUUUCUUGGAACAGGACGUCAUAGAGGGUGAGAAUCCCGUCUGAUGAGAUGCCCAAUUCCAUGUAAAGUUCCUUCGACGAGUCGAGUUGUUUGGGAAUGCAGCUCUAAGUGGGUGGUAAAUUCCAUCUAAAGCUAAAUAUUGGCGAGAGACCGAUAGCGAACAAGUACUGUGAAGGAAAGAUGAAAAGAACUUUGAAAAGAGAGUGAAAAAGUACGUGAAAUUGUUGAAAGGGAAGGGUUUAAGGUCAGACUUGGUUUACCAGGCCAGCAUCGGUUUAGAUGGCAGGAUAAUGGCGUAGGAAUGUGGCUUUGCUUCGGUAAAGUGUUAUAGCCUGCGUUGAUACUGCCUAUUUAGACCGAGGACUGCGUCUUUGACAAGGAUGCUGGCAUAAUGGCCUUAAGCCACCCGUCUUGAAACCACGGACCA